CUCAGGAUGAACGCUGGCGGCGUGCUUAACACAUGCAAGUCGAACGAUGAACCUCACUUGUGGGGGGAUUAGUGGCGAACGGGUGAGUAACACGUGAGUAACCUGCCCUUGACUCUGGGAUAAGCCUGGGAAACCGGGUCUAAUACUGGAUACGACCUUCUGGCGCAUGCCAUGUUGGUGGAAAGCUUUUGUGGUUUUGGAUGGACUCGCGGCCUAUCAGCUUGUUGGUGGGGUAAUGGCCUACCAAGGCGACGACGGGUAGCCGGCCUGAGAGGGUGACCGGCCACACUGGGACUGAGACACGGCCCAGACUCCUACGGGAGGCAGCAGUGGGGAAUAUUGCACAAUGGGCGCAAGCCUGAUGCAGCGACGCCGCGUGAGGGAUGAAGGCCUUCGGGUUGUAAACCUCUUUCAGUAGGGAAGAAGCCUGUCUUUUGGGUGGGUGACGGUACCUGCAGAAGAAGCGCCGGCUAACUACGUGCCAGCAGCCGCGGUAAUACGUAGGGCGCAAGCGUUAUCCGGAAUUAUUGGGCGUAAAGAGCUCGUAGGCGGUUUGUCGCGUCUGCCGUGAAAGUCCGGGGCUUAACUCCGGAUCUGCGGUGGGUACGGGCAGACUAGAGUGCAGUAGGGGAGACUGGAAUUCCUGGUGUAGCGGUGAAAUGCGCAGAUAUCAGGAGGAACACCGAUGGCGAAGGCAGGUCUCUGGGCUGUAACUGACGCUGAGGAGCGAAAGCAUGGGGAGCGAACAGGAUUAGAUACCCUGGUAGUCCAUGCCGUAAACGUUGGGCACUAGGUGUGGGGGACAUUCCACGUUUUCCGCGCCGUAGCUAACGCAUUAAGUGCCCCGCCUGGGGAGUACGGCCGCAAGGCUAAAACUCAAAGGAAUUGACGGGGGCCCGCACAAGCGGCGGAGCAUGCGGAUUAAUUCGAUGCAACGCGAAGAACCUUACCAAGGCUUGACAUGAACCGGAAUGAUGCAGAGAUGUGUCAGCC
RNAcentral lists this ribosomal RNA (993 nucleotides) under Arthrobacter agilis. RNAcentral describes it as "bacterial SSU rRNA". It matches the Rfam family "Bacterial small subunit ribosomal RNA", at positions 23 to 1016 of the family's 1533-position model. Lineage: Bacteria; Bacillati; Actinomycetota; Actinomycetes; Micrococcales; Micrococcaceae. The record is from RNAcentral.